This is a small nuclear RNA of Heterocephalus glaber (naked mole-rat), 108 nucleotides long. The record is from Ensembl. NCBI's taxonomy places the organism in Eukaryota, Metazoa, Chordata, Mammalia, Rodentia, Bathyergidae.
GUUGCUCGCUUUGGCAACACAUAUAAUAAAAUUGGAAUGAUACAGAGAAGAUUAGCACGGCCCCUGCACAAGGAUGACAUGCAAAUUCAUGAAACAUUCCAUAAAUAU